Molecule: ribosomal RNA, 481 nt
Filed under: uncultured bacterium
Lineage: Bacteria
Description: partial 16S ribosomal RNA
Rfam family: Bacterial small subunit ribosomal RNA
Source: RNAcentral
GAUGAACGCUGGCGGCGUGCUUAACACAUGCAAGUCGAACGAAGCAUUCAGGACUGAUUACUUCGGUUUGAAGUUCUUUAUGACUGAGUGGCGGACGGGUGAGUAACGCGUGGGUAACCUGCCUUGUACUGGGGGAUAGCAGUUGGAAACGGCUGGUAAUACCGCAUAAGCGCCCAAUGUUGCAUGACAUGGUGUGAAAAAGACAGGCGGUAUAAGAUGGACCCGCGUCUGUUUAGCUAGUUGGUGAGGUACCAGCCUACCAAGGCGACGAUCAGUAGCCGAGCUGGGAGGGUGAACCAGCACAAUUGGAAUGAGGCCCGGCCCAGGAUCCUACGGGGGGGAGGAGGGGGGAAUAAUGCACAAAGGAGCAAACGCCGAUUCAGCCACGGCGCGGGGGGGGAGAAGUGAGUCGUUAUGGAAAGGUCUAUCUGCAGGGGAGAUAGUGACGGUAACUGGCUAAGAAGCUCCGGCUAACUACGUG